GUCGGGGAAUUACAAGCAAAGCUUAAAACCCAAAGGACUUGACGGUACCCCAUAUCCCCCUAGAGGAGCCUGUCUCCUAAUCGAUAAUCCUCGUUCAACCUCACCAUGACUAGUUUAUUCAGCCUGUAUACUUCCGUCGUCAGCGCACCGCCGAACGACACAUAGGCAGCCUAAUGUCCACAUAUGUCCAUACAUGUGUGCUUGUAGCGUCAAUACGUCAGGUCAAAGUGCAGCAAACGUUGUGGAGAAAGAUUGGCUACACUUUUUAAUUUAAAAGAAACGGAAACAAGAUGAAACUCAGUUAUAAAGGUGGAUCUAGAAGUAAAAAGAAGACAUUAAGUUCCUUUUAACACGGCACUGGAGUUCGU
Molecule: ribosomal RNA, 368 nt
Filed under: Eleutherodactylus paulsoni (Paulson's robber frog)
Lineage: Eukaryota; Metazoa; Chordata; Amphibia; Anura; Eleutherodactylidae
Description: partial 12S ribosomal RNA
Rfam family: Bacterial small subunit ribosomal RNA
Source: RNAcentral